This 2905-nucleotide ribosomal RNA is filed under the name Salmonella enterica subsp. diarizonae. Its description in RNAcentral is "bacterial LSU rRNA". It matches the Rfam family "Bacterial large subunit ribosomal RNA". Lineage: Bacteria; Pseudomonadati; Pseudomonadota; Gammaproteobacteria; Enterobacterales; Enterobacteriaceae. The record is from RNAcentral.
UUAAGCGACCAAGCGUACACGGUGGAUGCCCUGGCAGUCAGAGGCGAUGAAGGACGUGCUAAUCUGCGAAAAGCGCCGGUAAGGUGAUAUGAACCGUUAUAACCGGCGAUGUCCGAAUGGGGAAACCCAGUGUGACUCGUCACACUAUCAUUAACUGAAUCCAUAGGUUAAUGAGGCGAACCGGGGGAACUGAAACAUCUAAGUACCCCGAGGAAAAGAAAUCAACCGAGAUUCCCCCAGUAGCGGCGAGCGAACGGGGAGGAGCCCAGAGCCUGAAUCAGCAUGUGUGUUAGUGGAAGCGUCUGGAAAGGCGCGCGAUACAGGGUGAGAGCCCCGUACACAAAAGCGCAUAUGCUGUGAGCUCGAUGAGUAGGGCGGGACACGUGGUAUCCUGUCUGAAUAUGGGGGGACCAUCCUCCAAGGCUAAAUACUCCUGACUGACCGAUAGUGAACCAGUACCGUGAGGGAAAGGCGAAAAGAACCCCGGCGAGGGGAGUGAAACAGAACCUGAAACCGUGUACGUACAAGCAGUGGGAGCCUCUCUUUAUGGGGGGUGACUGCGUACCUUUUGUAUAAUGGGUCAGCGACUUAUAUUCUGUAGCAAGGUUAACCGCAUAGGGGAGCCGAAGGGAAACCGAGUCUUAACCGGGCGUUAAGUUGCAGGGUAUAGACCCGAAACCCGGUGAUCUAGCCAUGGGCAGGUUGAAGGUUGGGUAACACUAACUGGAGGACCGAACCGACUAAUGUUGAAAAAUUAGCGGAUGACCUGUGGCUGGGGGUGAAAGGCCAAUCAAACCGGGAGAUAGCUGGUUCUCCCCGAAAGCUAUUUAGGUAGCGCCUCGUGAACUCAUCUCCGGGGGUAGAGCACUGUUUCGGCUAGGGGGCCAUCCCGGCUUACCAACCCGAUGCAAACUGCGAAUACCGGAGAAUGUUAUCACGGGAGACACACGGCGGGUGCUAACGUCCGUCGUGAAGAGGGAAACAACCCAGACCGCCAGCUAAGGUCCCAAAGUCAUGGUUAAGUGGGAAACGAUGUGGGAAGGCCCAGACAGCCAGGAUGUUGGCUUAGAAGCAGCCAUCAUUUAAAGAAAGCGUAAUAGCUCACUGGUCGAGUCGGCCUGCGCGGAAGAUGUAACGGGGCUAAACCAUGCACCGAAGCUGCGGCAGCGACACUUUAGUGUUGUUGGGUAGGGGAGCGUUCUGUAAGCCGUUGAAGGUGUCCUGUGAGGGGUGCUGGAGGUAUCAGAAGUGCGAAUGCUGACAUAAGUAACGAUAAAGCGGGUGAAAAGCCCGCUCGCCGGAAGACCAAGGGUUCCUGUCCAACGUUAAUCGGGGCAGGGUGAGUCGACCCCUAAGGCGAGGCCGAAAGGCGUAGUCGAUGGGAAACGGGUUAAUAUUCCCGUACUUGGUGUUACUGCGAAGGGGGGACGGAGAAGGCUAUGUUGGCCGGGCGACGGUUGUCCCGGUUUAAGCGUGUAGGCUGGUUUUCCAGGCAAAUCCGGAAAAUCAAGGCUGAGGCGUGAUGACGAGGCACUACGGUGCUGAAGCAACAAAUGCCCUGCUUCCAGGAAAAGCCUCUAAGCAUCAGGUAACAUCAAAUCGUACCCCAAACCGACACAGGUGGUCAGGUAGAGAAUACCAAGGCGCUUGAGAGAACUCGGGUGAAGGAACUAGGCAAAAUGGUGCCGUAACUUCGGGAGAAGGCACGCUGACACGUAGGUGAAGUGAUUUACUCAUGGAGCUGAAGUCAGUCGAAGAUACCAGCUGGCUGCAACUGUUUAUUAAAAACACAGCACUGUGCAAACACGAAAGUGGACGUAUACGGUGUGACGCCUGCCCGGUGCCGGAAGGUUAAUUGAUGGGGUCAGCGCAAGCGAAGCUCCUGAUCGAAGCCCCGGUAAACGGCGGCCGUAACUAUAACGGUCCUAAGGUAGCGAAAUUCCUUGUCGGGUAAGUUCCGACCUGCACGAAUGGCGUAAUGAUGGCCAGGCUGUCUCCACCCGAGACUCAGUGAAAUUGAACUCGCUGUGAAGAUGCAGUGUACCCGCGGCAAGACGGAAAGACCCCGUGAACCUUUACUAUAGCUUGACACUGAACAUUGAGCCUUGAUGUGUAGGAUAGGUGGGAGGCUUUGAAGCGUGGACGCCAGUCUGCGUGGAGCCGACCUUGAAAUACCACCCUUUAAUGUUUGAUGUUCUAACGUGGACCCGUAAUCCGGGUUGCGGACAGUGUCUGGUGGGUAGUUUGACUGGGGCGGUCUCCUCCUAAAGAGUAACGGAGGAGCACGAAGGUUGGCUAAUCCUGGUCGGACAUCAGGAGGUUAGUGCAAUGGCAUAAGCCAGCUUGACUGCGAGCGUGACGGCGCGAGCAGGUGCGAAAGCAGGUCAUAGUGAUCCGGUGGUUCUGAAUGGAAGGGCCAUCGCUCAACGGAUAAAAGGUACUCCGGGGAUAACAGGCUGAUACCGCCCAAGAGUUCAUAUCGACGGCGGUGUUUGGCACCUCGAUGUCGGCUCAUCACAUCCUGGGGCUGAAGUAGGUCCCAAGGGUAUGGCUGUUCGCCAUUUAAAGUGGUACGCGAGCUGGGUUUAGAACGUCGUGAGACAGUUCGGUCCCUAUCUGCCGUGGGCGCUGGAAGACUGAGGGGGGCUGCUCCUAGUACGAGAGGACCGGAGUGGACGCAUCACUGGUGUUCGGGUUGUCAUGCCAAUGGCACUGCCCGGUAGCUAAAUGCGGAAAAGAUAAGUGCUGAAAGCAUCUAAGCACGAAACUUGCCCCGAGAUGAGUCUUCCCUGAGACUUUGAGUCUCCUGAAGGAACGUUAAAGACGAUGACGUUGAUAGGCCGGGUGUGUAAGCGCAGCGAUGCGUUGAGCUAACCGGUACUAAUGAACCGUGAGGCUUAACCUU